Molecule: ribosomal RNA, 454 nt
Filed under: uncultured bacterium
Lineage: Bacteria
Description: partial 16S ribosomal RNA
Rfam family: Bacterial small subunit ribosomal RNA
Source: RNAcentral
GAUGAACGCUGACAGAAUGCUUAACACAUGCAAGUCAACUUGAACUUCGGUUUGGGUGGCGGACGGGUGAGUAACGCGUAAAGAACUUGCCUCACAGCUAGGGACAACAUUUGGAAACGAAUGCUAAUACCUGAUAUUAUGAUUAUAUGGCAUCGUAUAAUUAUGAAAGCUAUAUGCGCUGUGAGAGAGCUUUGCGUCUCAUUAGCUAGUUGGAGAGGUAACAGCUCACCAAGGCGAUGAUGGGUAGCCGGCCUGAGAGGGUGAUCGGCCACAAGGGGACUGAGACACGGCCCUUACUCCUACGGGAGGCAGCAGUGGGGAAUAUUGGACAAUGGACCGAGAGUCUGAUCCAGCAAUUCUGUGUGCACGAUGAAGUUUUUCGGAAUGUAAAGUGCUUUCAGUUGGGAAGAAAAAAAUGACGGUACCAACAGAAGAAGUGACGGCUAAAUACGUG